AGGAGCUUGCUCCUCUGACGUUAGCGGCGGACGGGUGAGUAACACGUGGGUAACCUACCUAUAAGACUGGGAUAACUCCGGGAAACCGGGGCUAAUACCGGAUAACACAUGAAACCGCAUGGUUUCAUGAUGAAAGACGGUUUUGCUGUCACUUAUAGAUGGACCCGCGGCGUAUUAGCUAGUUGGUAAGGUAACGGCUUACCAAGGCAACGAUACGUAGCCGACCUGAGAGGGUGAUCGGCCACACUGGAACUGAGACACGGUCCAGACUCCUACGGGAGGCAGCAGUAGGGAAUCUUCCGCAAUGGGCGAAAGCCUGACGGAGCAACGCCGCGUGAGUGAUGAAGGUCUUCGGAUCGUAAAACUCUGUUAUUAGGGAAGAACAAGGAUGUAAGUAACUGUGCAUCCCUUGACGGUACCUAAUCAGAAAGCCACGGCUAACUACGUGCCAGCAGCCGCGGUAAUACGUAGGUGGCAAGCGUUAUCCGGAAUUAUUGGGCGUAAAGCGCGCGUAGGCGGUUUUUUAAGUCUGAUGUGAAAGCCCACGGCUCAACCGUGGAGGGUCAUUGGAAACUGGAAAACUUGAGUGCAGAAGAGGAAAGUGGAAUUCCAUGUGUAGCGGUGAAAUGCGCAGAGAUAUGGAGGAACACCAGUGGCGAAGGCGACUUUCUGGUCUGCAACUGACGCUGAUGUGCGAAAGCGUGGGGAUCAAACAGGAUUAGAUACCCUGGUAGUCCACGCCGUAAACGAUGAGUGCUAAGUGUUAGGGGGUUUCCGCCCCUUAGUGCUGCAGCUAACGCAUUAAGCACUCCGCCUGGGGAGUACGGCCGCAAGGCUGAAACUCAAAGGAAUUGACGGGGACCCGCACAAGCGGUGGAGCAUGUGGUUUAAUUCGAAGCAACGCGAAGAACCUUACCAAAUCUUGACAUCCUUUGACAACUCUAGAGAUAGAGCCUUCCCCUUCGGGGGACAAAGUGACAGGUGGUGCAUGGUUGUCGUCAGCUCGUGUCGUGAGAUGUUGGGUUAAGUCCCGCAACGAGCGCAACCCUUAAGCUUAGUUGCCAGCAUUAAGUUGGGCACUCUAAGUUGACUGCCGGUGACAAACCGGAGGAAGGUGGGGAUGACGUCAAAUCAUCAUGCCCCUUAUGAUUUGGGCUACACACGUGCUACAAUGGACGGUACAAAGGGCAGCGAACCCGCGAGGUCAAGCAAAUCCCAUAAAGCCGUUCUCAGUUCGGAU
Molecule: ribosomal RNA, 1240 nt
Filed under: Staphylococcus simulans
Lineage: Bacteria; Bacillati; Bacillota; Bacilli; Caryophanales; Staphylococcaceae
Description: bacterial SSU rRNA
Rfam family: Bacterial small subunit ribosomal RNA
Source: RNAcentral